UACGUAGGUGGCAAGCGUUGUCCGGAUUUACUGGGUGUAAAGGGCGUGUAGCCGGGUUGACAAGUCCGAUGUGAAAUCCUGCGGCUUAACCGCAGAACUGCAUUUGAAACUGUUGAUCUUGAGUACUGGAGAGGCAGACGGAAUUCCUAGUGUAGCGGUGAAAUGCGUAGAUAUUAGGAGGAACACCAGUGGCGAAGGCGGUCUGCUGGACAGCAACUGACGGUGAGGCGCGAAAGCGUGGGGAGCAAACAGG
RNAcentral lists this ribosomal RNA (253 nucleotides) under uncultured bacterium. RNAcentral's name for it is "partial 16S ribosomal RNA". It matches the Rfam family "Bacterial small subunit ribosomal RNA", at positions 524 to 776 of the family's 1533-position model. The record is from RNAcentral.